Struthio camelus australis is the source of this 286-nucleotide long non-coding RNA. NCBI's taxonomy places the organism in Eukaryota, Metazoa, Chordata, Aves, Struthioniformes, Struthionidae. The record is from Ensembl.
CCCCGAAGCGUGUAAGGCUCAUAGCAGGGAACGAGAGAAGCAGUGAAUGAGUCUAGUUCCCCCCCCGCUUCGGGAACGGCACUUAGAGGGAGAGCAGGUACAAAUUUGCAGUAUCUUCCAGAUGGGUACAUGCCUAUGGACCUGUCUGCCUGUGGUUCCGCUGACACUGGGAUUCAAGCACUUAGUUCCUAGACUCACACAGAGGACGUGCGCAGACUGUGGCAGAACCCAGAGAUGGCUGCGUAAGAAGAUCAGCAAGAAACACCCAGAUUAUACAUAUGAAUAG